UGAUUUGCACUUGGGCAAAGGACAAUGCAAUGCUAUGCAGUGGACUAUGUUAUAUUAAUGACCUAAUCAUUAAAUGAAUGUACAAAAUGGGAGGUGCAAAUUUGAGGUGCUACACAUUGGCAUGAGAUUCAGAAGAUAACAACAAGGAUAACAUCGAGAUCUUAGACGGAGUAUGCCCCAACUGUUCUACCACAUCGAAAUCACUCUUGCGGAUGAUUUUCAGCACUUCUUCCAUUUCUUGUUUGGCAACAUCUUCGGUAGUAACUUCGACCGGUGUCUCUGACUGAGAAGGGUUGACUGGUUCCUUUCCUUGAGUUUCAGGGGCGGGAGGUGAGAUUUCUGGAGAGAAGAUCCUUCCACUUCGAGUAAUUUUACUAGUCCCAACAAUGCCAUUAGGAUUAGCAUAAUUAUCAACUUGCUUUACGCCAUGGAUGUAAACAUCACCUCCAUAAUUCCACGGAAUAGCUUUGCUUGAGGAAUACGGUACUGGGCCAGGUGCAGUAAUGAUUAGGGGAGCUACCUUGGGCUCAGCAGUAAUCUUCACAGGCGCCCUAGUAGCGGUA
Molecule: long non-coding RNA, 563 nt
Filed under: Lathyrus oleraceus (garden pea)
Lineage: Eukaryota; Viridiplantae; Streptophyta; Magnoliopsida; Fabales; Fabaceae
Description: Pisum sativum (pea) long non-coding RNA (PSAT_LNC007374)
Source: RNAcentral